UGCCUGCCGUGGCGGUGGUGAUCUCAGGCCCUGGCGGUGGUGGUGGUGGUGGGGCCAGCCCGAUGUCCCUGCAGCACCACAAGUUGCCCUUGCUCUUCGAGUGUCCAGUCUACUUUGACUAUGUCCUGCCUCCCAUCCUGCAGUGCCAGGCCGGGCACCUGGUGUGUAACCAAUGCCGCCAGAAGCUGAGCUGCUGCCCGACAUGCAGGGGUGCCCUGACACCCAGCAUCAGGAACCUGGCUAUGGAGAAGUUGGCCUCAGCAGUCCUGUUUCCCUGCAAGUAUGCCACUGUGCUGUUCCCUGACCCUGCACCAUACAGAGAAGCCAGAACACGAAGACAUCUGUGAAUACCGUCCCUACUCCUGCCCUUGUCCCGGUGCUUCCUGCAAGUGGUAGGAGUCCCUGGAAGCCAUGAUGUCCCACCUCAUGCACACCAACAAGAGCAUUACCACCCUUCAGGGAGAAGACAUUGUCUUUCUAGCUACAGACAUUAACCUGCCAGAGGCCGUUGACUGGGUGAUGAUGCAGUCGUGCUUUGGUCAUUACUUCAUGCUGGUGCUGGAGAAACAAGAGAAGUACGAAGUCCACCAGCAGUUUUUCGCCAUCGUCCUGCUCAUUGGUACCUGCAAGCAAGCCGAGAACUUUGUCUACAGACUGGAAUUGAAUGGGAACUGGCGGAGGCUGACCUGGGAGGCCACGCCCCGGUUCAUCCACAACAGGGUGGCCGCAGCUAUCAUGAACAGCGACUGCCUUGUUUUUGACACAGCCAUAGCACACCUUUUUGCAGAUAACGGGAACCUUGGAAUCAAUGUGACUAUUUCUACAUGUUGUCCGUGAUGCACUACGUGGCUUUCGUAAACCAUCAGAAUUACUUCGUUGUAGUGCCCUAUGUUUCAUAAAGGUUUUUAUAGAUGUUUUA
RNA transcript from Carlito syrichta (Philippine tarsier), 919 nucleotides. It is a transcript of the gene named E3 ubiquitin-protein ligase SIAH2 pseudogene, with no coding region annotated. The transcript has a single exon. Lineage: Eukaryota; Metazoa; Chordata; Mammalia; Primates; Tarsiidae. The record is from RefSeq and is a predicted model, not a curated record.